RNAcentral lists this ribosomal RNA (456 nucleotides) under uncultured bacterium. Its description in RNAcentral is "bacterial SSU rRNA". The stretch from base 1 to 260 matches the Rfam family "Bacterial small subunit ribosomal RNA", at positions 959 to 1218 of the family's 1533-position model. The record is from RNAcentral.
ACGCGAAGAACCUUAACCUGGCCUUGACAUCCUAGGAAGCCUGCAGAGAUGCGGGUGUGCCUUCGGGAACCUGGAGACAGGUGCUGCAUGGCUGUCGUCAGCUCGUGUCGUGAGAUGUUGGGUUAAGUCCCGCAACGAGCGCAACCCUUGUCCUUAGUUGCCAGCACGUAAUGGUGGGAACUCUAAGGAAACCGCCGGUGACAAACCGGAGGAAGGUGCGGAUCACCUCAACUCACACGGCCUUUCCAAAAAGGGAUCCAAAAUGCCUAAAACAAUAAUAGAAAAGACGCUUCAUCACCACAAAAAACUCACAACACACUAACAAACACCCUGCCCCCACGCAGUACCUCACCAUCAAGCUGACCCACAACACAAGUACAUCACCACACGCCACUGCCGCGCAACACCACUUAUCAUACAAAAACUCCGGCGCGAAGCAGACACAAUACACCACUA